RNAcentral lists this ribosomal RNA (849 nucleotides) under Paraglaciecola polaris. Its description in RNAcentral is "bacterial SSU rRNA". It matches the Rfam family "Bacterial small subunit ribosomal RNA", at positions 23 to 869 of the family's 1533-position model. The record is from RNAcentral. Lineage: Bacteria; Pseudomonadati; Pseudomonadota; Gammaproteobacteria; Alteromonadales; Alteromonadaceae.
CUCAGAUUGAACGCUGGCGGCAGGCCUAACACAUGCAAGUCGAACGGAAACAUGUCUAGCUUGCUAGAUGAUGUCGAGUGGCGGACGGGUGAGUAAUACUUAGGAACAUGCCUUUGGGUGGGGGAUAACUAUUGGAAACGAUAGCUAAUACCGCAUAACGUCUACGGACCAAAGGGGGCUUCGGCUCCCGCCCAGAGAGUGGCCUAAGCGAGAUUAGCUUGUUGGUGAGGUAAAGGCUCACCAAGGCGACGAUCUCUAGCUGUUCUGAGAGGAAGAUCAGCCACACUGGAACUGAGACACGGUCCAGACUCCUACGGGAGGCAGCAGUGGGGAAUAUUGCACAAUGGGCGCAAGCCUGAUGCAGCCAUGCCGCGUGUGUGAAGAAGGCCUUCGGGUUGUAAAGCACUUUCAGUUGUGAGGAAAGGUUAACGGUUAAUACCCGUUAGCUGUGACGUUAGCAACAGAAGAAGGACCGGCUAACUCCGUGCCAGCAGCCGCGGUAAUACGGAGGGUCCGAGCGUUAAUCGGAAUUACUGGGCGUAAAGCGCACGCAGGCGGUUUGUUAAGCUAGAUGUGAAAGCCCUGGGCUCAACCUGGGAAUUGCAUUUAGAACUGGCAGGCUAGAGUUUUGGAGAGGGGAGUGGAAUUCCAGGUGUAGCGGUGAAAUGCGUAGAUAUCUGGAGGAACAUCAGUGGCGAAGGCGACUCCCUGGUCAGUAACUGACGCUCAUGUGCGAAAGUGUGGGUAGCGAACAGGAUUAGAUACCCUGGUAGUCCACACCGUAAACGCUGUCUACUAGCUGUUUGUGGAUUUAAUCCGUGAGUAGCGAAGCUAACGCGAUAAGUAGAC